UGUCCAACUACCUGACUGUUCACAUGUAUACGUGUGCAUGUAUGUGCUUAUAUAUAAAAAUUCCACUCAGUAUUUCUCAAUUUUGCUCGGUUUCUGAGAGGCAAGGAAGGACAUUUUGGGCAUCUCUCUUUGUUCGGAGGAGGGCGGCCGCAAGAGCCGAUGCCUCUGCGCGAACAACAUCCCUGACUUUGCCAUGCCGCCGUUCCCAAGAGCUGUUUGCAGUGUCUUUUGAUAAUCCUGGGAGAAGCCAGUUGUCCUACAGAAGCCUGCAGAGGAGCUGUGCAAGCAUCUCCAUUUGCAGGGGACCCAAUCCUAACCUCCUUAGUCAGGCAAAACUCCCACUGACUUCGAUUAUGGAAGCAGGAUCUCACUGUGAUCUUUACUAUUUGGAGGCUGCUGUAAUGCCCCCCCAUGAUGUCAUCAUACAGGCAAACCAUGCAUGGUGUUUUUGCUUGUGAAGACUGCAGUAUUGAGCCUAUGGCAGUACUGAAGAGGAGAGAAAAAUGAAAAGAUUUGUCAGUACAAUUUCAAGACAUACAGCAAUAUGAAUUUUUAAGUAACAUUUGAUCUUAUAAAAACACUUUAUCAUCUUUCCAUCAGACGUACAUCCUCACAGCUAUAUAAAAAUCUGUAGUAAAAUUAUUGUAAGUAGUUUCUUUGAUUAAGAACUCAACAUUUGUGGUUUAGAAUAGCUUUAUAAUUUGC
RNAcentral lists this long non-coding RNA (705 nucleotides) under Struthio camelus australis. RNAcentral describes it as "lncRNA (ENSSCUG00000018830.1)". The record is from RNAcentral. Lineage: Eukaryota; Metazoa; Chordata; Aves; Struthioniformes; Struthionidae.